GAUGAAGAACGCAGCGAAAUGCGAUAAGUAGUGUGAAUUGCAGAAUUCAGUGAAUCAUCGAAUCUUUGAACGCACAUUGCGCCCCUUGGUAUCCCGAGGGGCAUGCCUGUUCGAGCGUCAUUUCACCACUCAAGCAUGGCUUGGUGUUGGGCGACGUCCUCUUUGGGGACGCGCCUCGAAACGCUCGGCGGCGUGGCACCGGCUUUAAGCGUAGCAGAAUCUUUCGCUUUGGAAGUCGGGGCCCCGUCUGCCGGAAGACCUGCUCGCAAGGUUGACCUCGGAUCAGGCAGGGAUACCCGCUGAACUUAAGCAUAUCAAUAAGCGGAGGA
Molecule: unclassified non-coding RNA, 329 nt
Filed under: soil metagenome
Description: partial contains 5.8S ribosomal RNA, internal transcribed spacer 2, and large subunit ribosomal RNA
Rfam family: 5.8S ribosomal RNA (bases 1-120)
Source: RNAcentral